GCAAUAUGUUGGGUAUUUCCCUCCACGUGAGGAAGUUAUCUUGUAGAAAGUUGGGGACAGUUUCCACGUUGACCCAUACCAAUUGAAAGGGCCCAAAUAAAGGAAAAAUAUAUACAUACCAAAAAUAGAGAGAAAUACCUAGAGAGAGAUACAAACGGGUUUUAGUUCUUCACGCCAAAGAUCGGAGGCUGAUUUGUGGUCCGAUUGAAGUGAAAUUUCAGUAUGUUAUUCUUGGCAAAGUGAUUUAUGUUUUGACUGGAGCCAAUCGUCUAGAUUCCUCUCCAUUUCUCUGGGCAGUACACACUUGUUUAGUGAGAAUUUCUCCUUUCUAUUGUGUAUAUUUAUUUUGGAAUGAUAUUGUUGUUGGUAUCCGAGAAUUAUGUGUUCUUGAUGUAUUGGUAGCCUCCAGAUGGUAUUCUGGAGAAGAAAAGCGGUGUAUCUCAUUAUUUUUCAUAGUGGAAGGCCUUUUACUGGACUAGGUCCCGUGGUUUUUCCUUUCACACUGAAGGGUUUCCCCAUCAACAAAUCUUUGUGUUCAAUUGUUAAAUUUCUUGCAGUGUGUGUGGCUAUUGGAGCCGAUUAUUGUUAUUAUUAUUGUCAUUUUAAUUCUGCACAUUUGAGGCCUUGAAAUAUUGUUUUCACUGCUUGUUUGUGUUACUGGUUUAGUCCCCAACACAAUAUGUUUUAAAAUGCAUUGUAACAUUUCAUAGAAUUAUACAAUUAUAAUACACACAUGUUUUCCAAGAUGCCUUAUCAAUUAAGACAUUAAAGAACCUAGAAUUUGUGAUUGAAAAAACCUUUAAACACAUAAU
This 812-nucleotide long non-coding RNA is filed under the name Olea europaea subsp. europaea. Lineage: Eukaryota; Viridiplantae; Streptophyta; Magnoliopsida; Lamiales; Oleaceae. The record is from RNAcentral.